This 469-nucleotide ribosomal RNA is filed under the name uncultured bacterium. RNAcentral's name for it is "SSU rRNA". It matches the Rfam family "Bacterial small subunit ribosomal RNA", at positions 26 to 518 of the family's 1533-position model. The record is from RNAcentral.
AGGACGAACGCUUGCGACGUGCCUAAGAAAUGCAAGUCGAACGGGGUCAUCCUUCGGGGUGGCCUAGUGGCGAACGGUCGCGUAACACGUGGGCAACCUGCCCUGAAGCGGGGGACAACACACCGAAAGGUGUGCUAAUACCGCAUGUGAAUCGUGGUGGCAUCACCGAGGAUUCAAAGCCGCAAGGCACUUCAGGAUGGGCCCGCGGCCUAUCAGCUAGUUGGUGAGGUAACGGCCCACCAAGGCUUCGACGGGUAGCUGGUCUGAGAGGACGAUCAGCCGGAUUGGGACUGAGAUACGGCCCAGACUCCUACGGGGGCAGCAAUUAGGAAUCUUGCGCAAUGGGCGAAAGCCUGACGCAGCGACGUCGCGUGAAGGAUGAAAUCUUUCGGGAUGUAAACUUCUUUUUCGGGAAGUAACAAUGACGGUACCGAAGAAUAAGCCCGGCUAACUACGUGCCAGCAGCCGC